Molecule: ribosomal RNA, 309 nt
Filed under: uncultured bacterium
Lineage: Bacteria
Description: bacterial SSU rRNA
Rfam family: Bacterial small subunit ribosomal RNA
Source: RNAcentral
GACGAACGCUGGCGGCGUGCCUAACACAUGCAAGUCGAACGGAGCAGAUCCCUUCGGGGGUUUGCUUAGUGGCGAACGGGUGAGUAACGCGUGAGGAACCUGCCUUUCAGUGGGGGACAACAGUUGGAAACGACUGCUAAUACCGCAUAAGCCCACAGGUCGGCAUCGACCAGAGGGAAAAGGAGCAAUCCGCUUUGAGAUGGCCUCGCGUCCGAUUAGCUAGUUGGUGAGGUAACGGCCCACCAAGGCGACGAUCGGUAGCCGGACUGAGAGGUUGAACGGCCACAUUGGGACUGAGACACGGCCCAG